Molecule: ribosomal RNA, 87 nt
Filed under: Clostridium botulinum
Lineage: Bacteria; Bacillati; Bacillota; Clostridia; Eubacteriales; Clostridiaceae
Also listed under: 1 other name
Source: RNAcentral
UCUGGUGAUUAUGGCUUGAAGGUAACACCCGUUCCCAUGCCGAACACGAAGGUUAAGCUUCAAAGCGCUGAUGGUACUGCAGGGGAG